This 362-nucleotide ribosomal RNA is filed under the name uncultured bacterium. RNAcentral's name for it is "partial 16S ribosomal RNA". It matches the Rfam family "Bacterial small subunit ribosomal RNA", at positions 338 to 716 of the family's 1533-position model. The record is from RNAcentral.
CCUACGGGGGGCAGCAGUGGGGAAUAUUGCACAAUGGGGGAAACCCUGAUGCAGCGACGCCGCGUGAGUGAAGAAGGAUUUCGGUAUGUAAAGCUCUAUCAGCAGGGAAGAAGCAAGACGGAACCUGACGAAGAAGCCCCGGCUAACUACGUGCCAGCAGCCGCGGUAAUACGUAGGGGGCAAGCGGUAUCCGGAUUUACGGGGUGUAAAGGGAGCGUAGACGGUAUGGCAAGUCUGAAGUGAAAGCCCCGGGCUUAACCCUGGGACUGCUUUGGAAACUGUUAGACUAGAGUGCUGGAGAGGUAAGUGGCAUUCCUAGUGUCGCGGUGAAAUGCGUAGAUAUUAGGAGGAACACCAGUGGC